GAUGAACGCUGGCGGCGUGCCUAAUACAUGCAAGUCGAGCGAACAGACGAGGAGCUUGCUCCUCUGACGUUAGCGGCGGACGGGUGAGUAACACGUGGAUAACCUACCUAUAAGACUGGGAUAACUUCGGGAAACCGGAGCUAAUACCGGAUAAUAUAUUGAACCGCAUGGUUCAAUAGUGAAAGACGGUUUUGCUGUCACUUAUAGAUGGAUCCGCGCCGCAUUAGCUAGUUGGUAAGGUAACGGCUUACCAAGGCAACGAUGCGUAGCCGACCUGAGAGGGGGAUAGGCCACACUGGAACUGAGAAACGGUCCAGACUCCUAAGGGAGGCAGCAGUAGGGAAUCUUCCGCAAUGGGCGAAAGCCUGACGGAGAAACGCCGCGGGAGUGAUGAAGGUCUUCGGAUCGUAAAACUCUGUUAUUAGGGAAGAACAAAUGUGUAAGUAACUAUGCACGUCUUGACGGUACCUAAUCAGAAAGCCACGGCUAAAUACGUG
Molecule: ribosomal RNA, 497 nt
Filed under: uncultured bacterium
Lineage: Bacteria
Description: partial 16S ribosomal RNA
Rfam family: Bacterial small subunit ribosomal RNA
Source: RNAcentral